GGGGAAUAUUGGGCAAUGGAGGAAACUCUUACCCAGCAAUGCCGCGUGAGUGAAUGAAGGUCUUCGGAUUGUAAAGCUCUUUGAUCGGGGACGAAUAAAUGACGGUACCCGAGGAACAAGCCCCGGCUAACUAUGUGCCAGCAGCCGCGGUAAUACAUAGGGGGCAAGCGUUGUCCGGAAUGACUGGGCGUAAAGGGUGUGUAGGCGGUUUCGCAAGUUGGAAGUGUAAUACCUAGAGCUUAACUCAGGUGCUGCUUCCAAAACUGCGGGACUUGAGUGUCGGAGAGGAAAAUGGAAUUCCUAGUGUAGCGGUGGAAUGCGUAGAUAUUAGGAGGAACACCAGAGGCGAAAGCGAUUUUCUGGACGAUAACUGACGCUGAGGCACGAAAGCGUGGGGAGCAAAC
Molecule: ribosomal RNA, 404 nt
Filed under: uncultured bacterium
Lineage: Bacteria
Description: bacterial SSU rRNA
Rfam family: Bacterial small subunit ribosomal RNA
Source: RNAcentral